Molecule: ribosomal RNA, 473 nt
Filed under: uncultured bacterium
Lineage: Bacteria
Description: bacterial SSU rRNA
Rfam family: Bacterial small subunit ribosomal RNA
Source: RNAcentral
GAUGAACGCUAGCUACAGGCUUAACACAUGCAAGUCGAGGGGAAACGAUAUUGGAAGCUUGCUUCCGAUAGGCGUCGACCGGCGCACGGGUGAGUAACGCGUAUCCAACCUGCCCAUCACUUGGGGAUAACCUUGCGAAAGUAAGACUAAUACCCAAUGACGUCUCUAGAAGACAUCUGAAGGAGAUUAAAGAUUUAUCGGUGAUGGAUGGGGAUGCGUCUGAUUAGCUAGUUGGCGGUGUAAUGGACCACCAAGGCUACGAUCAGUAGCUGGUUUGAGAGGAUGAUCAGCCACAAUGGGACUGAGACACGGCCCAUACUCCUACGGGAGGCAGCAGUAGGGAAUUUUGCGCAAUGGGGGAAACCCUGACGCAGCAACGCCGCGUGAAUGAUUAAGCCCUUCGGGGUGUAAAGUUCUGUCAGUAGGGACGAAACUUGACGGUACCUACAGAGGAAGCACCGGCUAACUCCGUG